GACGAACCGUGCGAACGUUAUUCGGAAUCACUGGGCUUAAAGCGCGUGUAGGCGGCCCGGCACGUCAUUGGCUGAAAUCCCCCGGCUCAACCGGGGAAGGGGCCGUGAUACGACCGGGCUGGAGGGGGGUAGGGGGGACGGGAACUCACGGUGGAGCGGUGAAAUGCGUUGAGAUCGUGAGGAACGCCCGCGGCGAAAGCGCGUCCCUGGACCCCACCUGACGCUGAGACGCGAAAGCCAGGGGAGCGAACGGG
This 254-nucleotide ribosomal RNA is filed under the name uncultured bacterium. RNAcentral describes it as "partial 16S ribosomal RNA". It matches the Rfam family "Bacterial small subunit ribosomal RNA", at positions 524 to 776 of the family's 1533-position model. The record is from RNAcentral.